This 492-nucleotide ribosomal RNA is filed under the name uncultured bacterium. Its description in RNAcentral is "partial 16S ribosomal RNA". It matches the Rfam family "Bacterial small subunit ribosomal RNA", at positions 29 to 507 of the family's 1533-position model. The record is from RNAcentral.
AGUGAACGCUGGCGGUAGGCCUAACACAUGCAAGUCGAACGGCAGCACAGUAAGAGCUUGCUCUUACGGGUGGCGAGUGGCGGACGGGUGAGGAAUACAUCGGAAUCUACUUUUUCGUGGGGGAUAACGUAGGGAAACUUACGCUAAUACCGCAUACGACCUACGGGUGAAAGCAGGGGAUCUUCUGACCUUGCGCGAUUGAAUGAGCCGCUGUCGGAUUAGCUAGUUGGCGGGGUAAAGGCCCACCAAGGCGACGAUCCGUAGCUGGUCUGAGAGGAUGAUCAGCCACACUGGAACUGAGACACGGUCCAGACUCCUACGGGAGGCAGCAGUGGGGAAUAUUGGACAAUGGGCGCAAGCCUGAUCCAGCGAUACCGCGUGGGUGAAGAAGGCCUUCGGGUUGUAAAGCCCUUUUGUUGGGAAAGAAAAGCAGCAGGUUAAUACCCAGCUGUUCUGACGGUACCCAAAGAAUAAGCACCGGCUAACUUCGUG